RNAcentral lists this ribosomal RNA (371 nucleotides) under uncultured organism. RNAcentral describes it as "partial 16S ribosomal RNA". It matches the Rfam family "Bacterial small subunit ribosomal RNA", at positions 527 to 896 of the family's 1533-position model. The record is from RNAcentral.
GUAGGUGGCAAGCGUUGUCCGGAAUUAUUGGGCGUAAAGCGCGCGCAGGCGGUUCUUUAAGUCUGAUGUGAAAGCCCACGGCUCAACCGUGGAGGGUCAUUGGAAACUGGAGAACUUGAGUACAGAAGAGGAAAGCGGAAUUCCACGUGUAGCGGUGAAAUGCGUAGAGAUGUGGAGGAACAUCAGUGGCGAAGGCGGCUUUCUGGUCUGUAACUGACGCUGAGGCGCGAAAGCGUGGGGGAGCAAACAGGAUUAGAUACCCUGGUAGUCCACGCCGUAAACGAUGAGUGCUAAGUGUUAGGGGGUUUCCGCCCCUUAGUGCUGCAGCUAACGCAUUAAGCACUCCGCCUGGGAGUACGGCCGCAAGGCUG